Small nuclear RNA from Uranotaenia lowii, 108 nucleotides. The record is from RefSeq and is a predicted model, not a curated record. NCBI's taxonomy places the organism in Eukaryota, Metazoa, Arthropoda, Insecta, Diptera, Culicidae.
GUUCAAGCUUCGACUGAACAUAUACUAAAAUUGUACCGAUACAGAGAUGAUUAGCAUGGUCCCUGCGCAAGGAUGACACGCAAAAAUUGUGAAGCGUUUCACAUUUCU